This 298-nucleotide ribosomal RNA is filed under the name uncultured bacterium. Its description in RNAcentral is "partial 16S ribosomal RNA". It matches the Rfam family "Bacterial small subunit ribosomal RNA", at positions 193 to 507 of the family's 1533-position model. The record is from RNAcentral.
CCCACGGGUCAAAGGAGCAAUUCGCUUGAGGAGGAGGUCGCGGCCCGAUUAGUUAGUUGGCGGGGUAAUGGCCCCACCAAGACGGUGAUCGGUAUCCGGCCUGAGAGGGCGCACGGACACACUGGAACUGAAACACGGUCCAGACUCCUACGGGAGGCAGCAGUGGGGAAUUUUGCGCAAUGGGGGAAACCCUGACGCAGCAACGCCGCGUGGAGGAUGAAGUCUCUUGGGACGUAAACUCCUUUCGAUCGGGACGAUUAUGACGGUACCGGAAGAAGAAGCCCCGGCUAACUUCGUG